GAGCCUGCGGCUUAAUUUGACUCAACACGGGGAAACUUACCAGGUCCAGACAUAGUAAGGAUUGACAGACUGAGAGCUCUUUCUUUUUUUAAAAUGUAAAUGAUAUAAAAUCAGAAAUGGAAUAUUACAUGUACACAGGGUA
This 142-nucleotide non-coding RNA is filed under the name Erythranthe guttata (spotted monkey flower). RNAcentral's name for it is "Mimulus guttatus (spotted monkey flower) Eukaryotic small subunit ribosomal RNA". It matches the Rfam family "Eukaryotic small subunit ribosomal RNA", at positions 1179 to 1475 of the family's 1831-position model. Lineage: Eukaryota; Viridiplantae; Streptophyta; Magnoliopsida; Lamiales; Phrymaceae. The record is from Rfam by way of RNAcentral.